Molecule: transfer RNA, 62 nt
Filed under: Amblyomma tholloni
Lineage: Eukaryota; Metazoa; Arthropoda; Arachnida; Ixodida; Ixodidae
Description: tRNA-His
Source: RNAcentral
GUUUAAUUAGUUUAUUAAAAAUAAUAGAUUGUGGAUUUAUAGAUGAGCGAACUCAUUAAACA